UACGUAGGGUGCAGGCGUUAAUCGGAAUUACUGGGCGUAAAGCGUGCGCAGGCGGUUUGCUAAGACAGGUGUGAAAUCCCCGGGCUUAACCUGGGAACUGCGCUUGUAACUGGCAAGCUAGAGUGUGGCAGAGGGGGGUGGAAUUCCACGUGUAGCAGUGAAAUGCGUAGAUAUCGAGAGGAACACCAGUGGCGAAGGCGACUCACUGGGCUCCACCUGACGCUGAGGCGCGAAAGCGUGGGGAGCGAACCGG
RNAcentral lists this ribosomal RNA (253 nucleotides) under uncultured bacterium. RNAcentral describes it as "partial 16S ribosomal RNA". It matches the Rfam family "Bacterial small subunit ribosomal RNA", at positions 524 to 776 of the family's 1533-position model. The record is from RNAcentral.